This 863-nucleotide ribosomal RNA is filed under the name Elphidium sp. S5. RNAcentral describes it as "SSU rRNA". It matches the Rfam family "Eukaryotic small subunit ribosomal RNA", at positions 1246 to 1767 of the family's 1831-position model. The record is from RNAcentral. Lineage: Eukaryota; Foraminifera; Rotaliida; Elphidiidae.
GGUUAUGGGGCGGGUUGAAUUUCAAUCUCUUCGGGGAUUAAUUUUCUCCCACCUCAAAAAUAUGCUAGUCCUUUCAUGAUUAUGUGAUAGGUGGUGCAUGGCCGUUCUUAGUUCGUGGAGUGAUCUGUCUGCUUAAUUGCGUUUCACUAAAGGCGUCAUUAAUUUUUUGUGCCUGUGUUUGACCCCGCACUUCGGUGCGCGCGCGUCUUUCACACACAAUUACUUUGACGUCUGAAAGCAACGAACGUGACCGUAACCUCUUGUUGCCUUCUCUUCUCUUCGGAGAAUGCUGCUUUAUACCUUCACGGGUGAAUCGCAGUAUACGGAGGCUUAAUACUCAGUAACUAGAGGGACCGCUGUUACUUUCUUUAAACCAGAGGAAGGUUGCGGCAAUAACAGGUCUGUGAUGCCCUUAGAUGUUCCGGGCUGCACACGUGAUACAUUGAUUACUUCAGUGAGUAUCUACGUAUUACUGCGCAGCAGUAUACGCGUGUUGUUUAUUGCUUCGGCAAUUUACUUUGCGCUAUACGCCGCCUUAACCUACUUCGAAAGUAUGUGGGUAACCAAUUAGAAGUAGUGAUUUCCCUCUUUAUAAGCACACUUAUAUGGAGCAUCAUCACCCGGCAUGCCUUGUGCAUGUUUUGUGUGUGUUGUUUGUCUACAUGUGCUUUUGUCAAUUCAUAGUGGGGACAGACCAUUGUUAAUUGUUGGUCUCGGUCUUAACUAGGAAUGCCUUGUACGAGUUUUUGGUUCAACAAACCACUCGGAAUACGUCCCUGCCCUUUGUACACACCGCCCGUCGCUCUUACCGAUGGAUUAUAUUAUGAGUUGGCAGGACCGUCCAGGAAAUGCCUGCGAAUAAU